RNAcentral lists this ribosomal RNA (440 nucleotides) under uncultured bacterium. Its description in RNAcentral is "partial 16S ribosomal RNA". It matches the Rfam family "Bacterial small subunit ribosomal RNA", at positions 338 to 795 of the family's 1533-position model. The record is from RNAcentral.
CCUACGGGGGACAGCAGUGGGGAAUAUUGGACAAUGGGGGAAACCCUGAUCCAGCGACGCCGCGUGAGUGAAGAAGUAUUUCGGUACGUAAAGCUCUAUCAGCAGGAAAGAAAAUGACGGUACCUGACUAAGAAGCCCCGGCUACCUACUUGCCAGCAGCCGCGGUAAUACGUCGUGGUCAAGCGUUCUCCGGAUUUACUGGGUGGAAAGGGAGCGUAGACGGCAGCGCAAGUCUGGAGUGAAAUGCCGGGGCCCAACCCCGGAACUGCUCUGGAAACUGUGACGCUGGAGUGCAGGAGAGGUAAGCGGAAUGCCGGGUGUAGCGGUGAAAUGCGUAGAUAUCAGGAGGAACACCAGCGGCGAAGGCGGCUUACUGGACUGUAACUGACGUUGAGGCUCGAAGGCGUGGGGAGCAAACAGGAUUAGAUACCCCUGUAGUC